UACGAAGGGGGCUAGCGUUGCUCGGAAUCACUGGGCGUAAAGGGUGCGUAGGCGGGUAUUUAAGGCAGGGGUGAAAUCCUGGAGCUCAACUCCAGAACUGCCUUUGAUACUGAGGAUCUUGAGUUCGGGAGAGGUGAGUGGAACUGCGAGUGUAGAGGUGAAAUUCGUAGAUAUUCGCAAGAACACCAGUGGCGAAGGCGGCUCACUGGCCCGAUACUGACGCUGAGGCGCGAAAGCCAGGGGAGCAAACGGG
Molecule: ribosomal RNA, 253 nt
Filed under: uncultured bacterium
Lineage: Bacteria
Description: partial 16S ribosomal RNA
Rfam family: Bacterial small subunit ribosomal RNA
Source: RNAcentral